Long non-coding RNA from Ooceraea biroi (clonal raider ant), 375 nucleotides. RefSeq lists it as uncharacterized. The record is from RefSeq and is a predicted model, not a curated record. Lineage: Eukaryota; Metazoa; Arthropoda; Insecta; Hymenoptera; Formicidae.
ACUCCAAACUGAAAAUGAUAAGUGAUCAUAACCUCAACAGACUACUCAAUAUCAAUUUCAUACUUUAGAUAAAUGUAGAACAAGUGUCAGGAGUGGUAUCUAAUAUCUAAUCAUUUCGUUCCCGUCCGUGACAUGUUGACAAUUGAAGAUGGGCGGUACUACAACUACGCGAAAUUCUAACUAAUGUAACUGGCAAAAACACUUGGAACAUUUGGAAAUUUGCAUCUGUCUGCAUACUUAUAUAAUAUAAAAACAUAUGACAUACUAACACCUUAUAAAAAGUAAGUAUGCAAUUUGGUUUCAGGAAGUACAAAAAAUAAUAUAAACGAAUUUGUAUAUGUAACAUUUUAAUUAAAGACUCAUUUGUCAUAAGAA